CAGUCGCCACGGUAAUACGUAGGUGGCAAGCGUUGUCCGGAGUUAUUGGGCGUAAAGGGCUCGCAGGCGGUUUCUUAAGUCUGAUGUGAAAGCCCCCGGCUCAACCGGGGAGGGUCAUUGGAAACUGGGAAACUUGAGUGCAGAAGAGGAGAGUGGAAUUCCACGUGUAGCGGUGAAAUGCGUAGAGAUGUGGAGGAACACCAGUGGCGAAGGCGACUCUCUGGUCUGUAACUGACGCUGAGGAGCGAAAGCGUGGGGAGCGAACAGGAUUAGAUACCCCUGUAGUCCCUGUCUCUUAUAC
This 301-nucleotide ribosomal RNA is filed under the name uncultured bacterium. Its description in RNAcentral is "partial 16S ribosomal RNA". It matches the Rfam family "Bacterial small subunit ribosomal RNA", at positions 509 to 807 of the family's 1533-position model. The record is from RNAcentral.